AUUGAACGCUGGCGGCAGGCCUAACACAUGCAAGUCGAACGCGUGGCGGACGGGUGAGUAAUGUCUGGGACACUGUCUGAUGGAGGGGGAUAACUUCUGGAAACGGUCGAUAAUCCCGUAUACCCUCGGAUGUGCCCAGAUGGGAUUAGCUAGUAGGUGGGGUAAAGGCUCACCUAGGCGACGAUCCAUAGCUGGUCUGAGAGGAUGACCAGCCACACUGGAACUGAGACACGGUCCAGACUCCUACGGGAGGCAGCAGUGGGGAAUAUUGCACAAUGGGCGCAAGCCUGAUGCAGCCAGGCCGCGUGUAUGAAGAAGGCCUUCGGGUUGUAAAGUACUUUCAGCGGGGAGGCGUUACCCGCAGAAGAAGCACCGGCUAACUCCGUGCCAGCCGCCGCGGUAAUUC
This 406-nucleotide ribosomal RNA is filed under the name uncultured bacterium. RNAcentral's name for it is "partial 16S ribosomal RNA". It matches the Rfam family "Bacterial small subunit ribosomal RNA", at positions 30 to 526 of the family's 1533-position model. The record is from RNAcentral.